CGAUUGAAUGAGCCGAUGUCGGAUUAGCUAGUUGGCGGGGUAAAGGCCCACCAAGGCGACGAUCCGUAGCUGGUCUGAGAGGAUGAUCAGCCACACUGGAACUGAGACACGGUCCAGACUCCUACGGGAGGCAGCAGUGGGGAAUAUUGGACAAUGGGCGCAAGCCUGAUCCAGCCAUACCGCGUGGGUGAAGAAGGCCUUCGGGUUGUAAAGCCCUUUUGUUGGGAAAGAAAUCCAGCCGGCUAAUACCUGGUUGGGAUGACGGUACCCAAAGAAUAAGCACCGGCUAACUUCGUGCCAGCAGCCGCGGUAAUACGAAGGGUGCAAGCGUUACUCGGAAUUACUGGGCGUAAAGCGUGCGUAGGUGGUUGUUUAAGUCUGUUGUGAAAGCCCUGGGCUCAACCUGGGAACUGCAGUGGAAACUGGACGACUAGAGUGUGGUAGAGGGUAGCGGAAUUCCUGGUGUAGCAGUGAAAUGCGUAGAGAUCAGGAGGAACAUCCAUGGCGAAGGCAGCUACCUGGACCAACACUGACACUGAGGCACGAAAGCGUGGGGAGCAAACAGGA
This 567-nucleotide ribosomal RNA is filed under the name Stenotrophomonas sp. Pd-S-(s)-e-D-5(20). RNAcentral describes it as "bacterial SSU rRNA". It matches the Rfam family "Bacterial small subunit ribosomal RNA", at positions 218 to 777 of the family's 1533-position model. The record is from RNAcentral. Lineage: Bacteria; Pseudomonadati; Pseudomonadota; Gammaproteobacteria; Lysobacterales; Lysobacteraceae.